UCCGGUUGAUCCUGCCGGACCCGACUGCUAUCAGAGUGGGACUAAGCCAUGCGAGUCAACGCAGCAAUGCGUGGCAUACGGCUCAGUAACACGUAGUCAACAUGCCCAGGGGACGUGGAUAACCUCGGGAAACUGAGGAUAAACCGCGAUAGGCCAAGGUUUCUGGAAUGGAUCAUGGCUGAAACCUAUAUGGCCCCUGGAUUGGACUGCGGCCGAUCAGGCUGUUGGUGAGGUAAUGGCCCACCAAACCUGUAACCGGUACGGGCUCUGAGAGGAGGAGCCCGGAGAUGGGCACUGAGACAAGGGCCCAGGCCCUAUGGGGCGCAGCAGGCGCGAAACCUCUGCAAUAGGCGAAAGCUUGACAGGGUUACUCUGAGUGAUGUCCGCUAAGGGCAUCUUUUGGCACUUCUAAAAAUAGUGUAGAAUAAGGGGUGGGCAAGUCUGGUGUCAGCCGCCGCGGUAAUACCAGCACCCCGAGUGGUCGGGACGAUUAUUGGGCCUAAAGCAUCCGUAGCCGGUUCUGCAAGUCUUCCGUUAAAUCCACCUGCUCAACAGAUGGGCUGCGGAGGAUACUACAGGGCUAGGAGGCGGGAGAGGCAAGCGGUACUCAGUGGGUAGGGGUAAAAUCCUCUGAUCCACUGAAGACCACCAGUGGCGAAGGCGGCUUGCCAGAACGCGCUCGACGGUGAGGGAUGAAAGCUGGGGGAGCAAACCGGAUUAGAUACCCGGGUAGUCCCAGCUGUAAACGAUGCAGACUCGGUGAUGGGUUGGCUUCGAGCCAACCCAGUGCCGCAGGGAAGCCGUUAGGUCUGCCGCCUGGGGAGUACGGUCGCAAGACUGAAACUUAAAGGAAUUGGCGGGGGAGCACCACAAGGGGUGAAGCCUGCGGUUCAAUUGGAGUCAACGCCGGAAAUCUUACCGGGAGCGACAGCAGAGUGAAGGUCAAGCUGAAGACUUUACCAGACAAGCUGAGAAGUGGUGCAUGGCC
RNAcentral lists this ribosomal RNA (988 nucleotides) under uncultured archaeon. RNAcentral describes it as "bacterial SSU rRNA". It matches the Rfam family "Archaeal small subunit ribosomal RNA", at positions 1 to 999 of the family's 1478-position model. The record is from RNAcentral.